RNAcentral lists this long non-coding RNA (235 nucleotides) under Brassica rapa (field mustard). Its description in RNAcentral is "long non-coding RNA (BRAP_LNC004951)". The record is from RNAcentral. Lineage: Eukaryota; Viridiplantae; Streptophyta; Magnoliopsida; Brassicales; Brassicaceae.
AAAAUGCAAUGGUUUAUACAAAAUUAUUAAAAUAUGUAAAGAUGUUUUUUCACUAUAAAAAUUACAUAAACUUUGAAGAGGUUUUCAAAUAGUCUAAAAAUGUAACUUUUCAUUCUAAACUUGUAAAAUUUUUAAUGAUUUUUUUUUAGUUCUUUUUCAUAUCUAUUUUUUAUAUGUUUUCAAAAAUCUUUCAAAGUAUCUAAAAAUUCUGAGGUAAUUCGUUUUGUUGAGUAAC